CUCCUACGGGAGGCAGCAGUAAGGAAUAUUGGUCAAUGGACGAAAGUCUGAACCAGCCAUGCCGCGUGAAGGAUUAAGGCCCUCUGGGUUGUAAACUUCUUUUAUCUGGGACGAAAAAAGGGUAUUCUUACUCACUUGACGGUACCAGAGGAAUAAGCACCGGCUAACUCCGUGCCAGCGCCGCGGUAA
This 189-nucleotide ribosomal RNA is filed under the name uncultured bacterium. RNAcentral describes it as "partial 16S ribosomal RNA". It matches the Rfam family "Bacterial small subunit ribosomal RNA", at positions 336 to 523 of the family's 1533-position model. The record is from RNAcentral.